UGAGGAAUAUUGGACAAUGGGCGAAAGCCUGAUCCAGCCAUGCCGCGUGUGUGAAGAAGGUCUUCGGAUUGUAAAGCACUUUAAGUUGGGAGGAAGGGUUGUAGAUUAAUACUCUGCAAUUUUGACGUUACCGACAGAAUAAGCACCGGCUAACUCUGUGCCAGCAGCCGCGGUAAUACAGAGGGUGCAAGCGUUAAUCGGAAUUACUGGGCGUAAAGCGCGCGUAGGUGGUUUGUUAAGUUGGAUGUGAAAUCCCCGGGCUCAACCUGGGAACUGCAUCCAAAACUGGCAAGCUAGAGUAUGGUAGAGGGUGGUGGAAUUUCCUGUGUAGCGGUGAAAUGCGUAGAUAUAGGAAGGAACACCAGUGGCGAAGGCGACCACCUGGACUGAUACUGACACUGAGGUGCGAAAGCGUGGGGAGCAAACAGGAUUAGAUACCCCCGUAGUCCCUGAGCGGGCUGGCAAGGCGCAU
RNAcentral lists this ribosomal RNA (472 nucleotides) under uncultured bacterium. RNAcentral describes it as "bacterial SSU rRNA". It matches the Rfam family "Bacterial small subunit ribosomal RNA", at positions 355 to 825 of the family's 1533-position model. The record is from RNAcentral.